GUAUAAUCACAGGGUCAUACAAUAACUUCUUCCGGAUCUUUGAUCGUAACACGAGACGUGAUGUAACAUUAGAAGCUUCCAGAGAAACGGCCAAAGCUAGGACAGUACUGAGGCCAAGAAAGGUUGGCACAGGUGGGAAAAAGAAAGAAAGAUGAAAUAGGUGUAGACUGUUUAGAUUUUAAUCGAAAAAUUUUACACACAGCGUGGCAUCCAAGAGAAAACAUAAUCGUCGUAGCAGCAACCAAUAACCUUUAUAUCUUUCAAGAAAAGAUGUGAGUGAUCAUGGUGUCCAGUGUUUAAGUACUUCUAUCCAAUGUCUGCAGUUGGGCAAGAUGCAGAAGAAGUUCCUGAAACUGUACUGUUGAACCGUGGUGCACACAGAGACUGGUUUCAAGUGGCUGUGGUUUAAGAGUCCUUGGUGGACUGUGCCUUCAUCCCAAUUUAUUGUACACGUUCACCAUCGUAUUGCAAUGUCGUCGGUGUUCACGAGACGUAUGCGUGUCGAUGUAUAUAUAUAUAUAAAUAUAUAUAUAUAUAUAUGUUCCCCUCAUUUGACGUAUGUGAUGCCUGUUAAACGUAGUAACCACUCAUGAUUCUUAAUAUUAGUUAAUUAGAAAGCUUAUAAUACUGGAAAUGACUGCUCAGUGUUCUGAAAAGACAUGAGCCAAAACGUUUUGUCAGUAGUCUGUGUGGGGCUAUGUAUUAAUGGCAUAUUUUUCAGUUUGAAAUCACUGUUGCAGGUUAUCUUGAGUUCACAAGAUCAGGGAAAUAGGGAUCAGUAAAUUCAGCAAGCCGUUAUUUAUACCAAUAUAAUGUUACAAAAUAUAGAAGAAAAAUCAACUUUUUAUGUAGAUAUUAGAUUGUAGAUAAAACUCAUUUCUAAAGAUUAAGCACUGUCUCCAUCGAAAAGGUUAGUUAUAAUAAUGCUUUGGAAUGAAUGGAAAUAUUUUUCCAUUCACUGGUUAUUGUGAAGGAGUCUUCCAGGAUGGUCUCGUCAUUUUACACUAUUUUCACAAUAUAUCAGUAUUAAAUGAGAUACGUCAUUCAAGAUGUUUAGUUUUUAUUUAGUAGCCUGAAGAAAAUUAAUUAAUUCUCGUGAAAUGCUCAAUUUAAUAUUAAUUUUAAGCAUGCUGAGUUAUUUUUUUAGUUAUUAUUUCACAUUUCAGAGAAAUAUGCCUGGAGAUCAAAUUGUACAGGGUUGAUCAUGAAGUAUGAAUAAUUUUCUCAAUUAUUGACUUAACUGAUAAAGGUCCAAACCUUUCAACAGCUUACAAGUUCAGUCUCAUACUUUCACUUUAGAGUAUUAUACAAUAAAGACUUUUCUGAUGAAACACAUCUCCAGUUCUUUCCAGGACGAAGGCUGCUAAAUAAUGAUUGAAUUGAGGUGAUCCUCGACAAGGGAUGUCAUCUUGCAUGUAGGUGUUUGUUCUGUGUGCAUGAAAGGGGAUAAACUAGAACUGUUAGUAAUGUUUGACAUCUUGUAUAAAUACAUUGUUGUGUUAAAGAGAAAACAAUAAAGGUUAAGAAUUAGUGUUGUAA
This 1539-nucleotide long non-coding RNA is filed under the name Limulus polyphemus (Atlantic horseshoe crab). RNAcentral's name for it is "uncharacterized LOC106471613, transcript variant X2". Lineage: Eukaryota; Metazoa; Arthropoda; Merostomata; Xiphosura; Limulidae. The record is from RNAcentral.